Molecule: ribosomal RNA, 1011 nt
Filed under: Aquicella siphonis
Lineage: Bacteria; Pseudomonadati; Pseudomonadota; Gammaproteobacteria; Legionellales; Coxiellaceae
Description: bacterial SSU rRNA
Rfam family: Bacterial small subunit ribosomal RNA
Source: RNAcentral
GCUGGCGGCACGCUAACACAUGCAAAGUCGAGCGGUAACAGAGCUAGUAGCAAUACUAGCUGCUGACGACCGGCGGACGGGUGAGGAACACGUAGGAACGGCCCUCAAGCGGGGGACAACCAAGGGAAACUUUGGCUAAUACCGCAUAAUCUCGAGAGAGAAAAGCUGCCGCAAGGUGGCACUUGAGGAGGGGCCUGCGUCCGAUUAGUUAGUUGGUGAGGUAAAGGCUCACCAAGACGAUGAUCGGUAACUGGUCUGAGAGGACGACCAGUCACACUGGGACUGAGACACGGCCCAGACUCCUACGGGAGGCAGCAGUGGGGAAUAUUGGACAAUGGGGGCAACCCUGAUCCAGCGAUGCCGCGUGAGUGAAGAAGGCCUUCGGGUCGUAAAGCUCUUUAGGUUGGGAAGAAGGUAUUGGGGGGAUAAUCCUCGAUACUUGACGGUACCGACAGAAUAAGCACCGGCAAACUCUGUGCCAGCAGCCGCGGUAAUACAGAGGGUGCGAGCGUUAAUCGGAGUUACUGGGCGUAAAGGGCGCGUAGGCGGUAAGAUGUGUGUGAUGUGAAAGCCCCGGGCUUAACCUGGGAAGUGCAUCGCAAACUAUCUAACUGGAGUAUAUGAGAGGGUGGCGGAAUUUCCGGUGUAGCGGUGAAAUGCGUAGAGAUCGGAAGGAACGUCAAUGGCGAAGGCAGCCACCUGGCAUAAUACUGACGCUGAGGCGCGAAAGCGUGGGGAGCGAACAGGAUUAGAUACCCUGGUAGUCCACGCUGUAAACGAUGAGGACUAAAGGUUGGUAGGGGAACCUAUCAGUCUUGAAGCUAACGCGAUAAGUCUUCCGCCUGGGAAGUACGGCCGCAAGGUUGAAACUCAAAUGAAUUGACGGGGGCCCGCACAAGCGGUGGAGCAUGUGGUUUAAUUCGAUGCAACGCGAAGAACCUUACCUACCCUUGACAUCCUGCGAAUCCCGAUGAGAGUUGGGAGUGCCGAAAGGAACGCAGAGACAGGUGC